This 497-nucleotide ribosomal RNA is filed under the name uncultured bacterium. RNAcentral describes it as "partial 16S ribosomal RNA". It matches the Rfam family "Bacterial small subunit ribosomal RNA", at positions 28 to 507 of the family's 1533-position model. The record is from RNAcentral.
GAUGAACGCUGGCGGCGUGCCUAAUACAUGCAAGUCGAGCGAACAGACGAGGAGCUUGCUCCUCUGACGUUAGCGGCGGAAGGGUGAGUAACACGUGGAUAACCUACCUAUAAGACUGGGAUAACUUCGGGAAACCGGAGCUAAUACCGGAUAAUAUAUUGAACCGCAUGGUUCAAUAGUGAAAGACGGUUUUGCUGUCACUUAUAGAUGGAUCCGCGCCGCAUUAGCUAGUUGGUAAGGUAACGGCUUACCAAGGCAACGAUGCGUAGCCGAACUGAGAGGGUGAUCGGCCACACUGGAACUGAGACACGGUCCAGACUCCUACGGGAGGCAGCAGUAGGGAAUCUUCCGCAAUGGGCGAAAGCCUGACGGAGCAACGCCGCGUGAGUGAUGAAGGUCUUCGGAUCGUAAAACUCUGUUAUUAGGGAAGAACAAAUUUGUAAGUAACUAUGCACGUCUUGACGGUACCUAAUCAGAAAGCCACGGCUAACUACGUG